Molecule: ribosomal RNA, 253 nt
Filed under: uncultured bacterium
Lineage: Bacteria
Description: partial 16S ribosomal RNA
Rfam family: Bacterial small subunit ribosomal RNA
Source: RNAcentral
UACGAAGGGGGCUAGCGUUGCUCGGAAUGACUGGGCGUAAAGCGUGCGCAGGCGGUUCGUUGUGUCGGCGGUGAAAGCCCCGGGCUUAACCUGGGAAUGGCCGUUGAAACUGGCGAACUGGAGUGUGGCAGAGGGGGGUGGAAUUCCGCGUGUAGCAGUGAAAUGCGUAGAGAUGCGGAGGAACACCGAUGGCGAAGGCAGCCCCCUGGGUCAAAACUGACGCUCAUGCACGAAAGCGUGGGGAGCAAACAGG